GAUGAACGCUGGCGGCGUGCCUAAUACAUGCAAGUCGAGCGAACGGACGAGAAGCUUGCGUCUCUGAUGUUAGCGGCGGACGGGUGAGUAACACGUGGAUAACCUACCUAUAAGACUGGGAUAACUUCGGGAAACCGGAGCUAAUACCGGAUAAUAUUUUGAACCGCAGGGGUCAAUAGUGAAAGACGGUCGUGCGGUCUGUUAUAGAUGGAUCCGCGCUGCAUUAGCUGGUUGGUAAGGUAACGGCUUACCAAGGCAACGAUGCAUAGCCGACCUGAGAGGGGGAUCCGCGCCCGUGAGGGUGAGCCCCGAUCCUGGCUCUGACGGGAGGCCGCAGUCGGGACUCUUCCGCAAUGGGCGGAAGCCUGACGGAGCAACGCCGCGCGAGUGAUGAAGCUCUUCGGAUCGUAAGACUCUGUUAUGGGGGAAGAACAUAUGUGUAUGUAACGGUGCGCAUCUGAACGGAACCUAAACAGAAAGCCCCGCUUAACUCCUU
Molecule: ribosomal RNA, 496 nt
Filed under: uncultured bacterium
Lineage: Bacteria
Description: partial 16S ribosomal RNA
Rfam family: Bacterial small subunit ribosomal RNA
Source: RNAcentral